ACUGCCACAACAGACAAUGCUCACAGACAGACUGACCAACAGAUGGACAGACAGACAGAGGACAACACCUAUACUCUGUAGGCUACUGCAGAGAGAGAGAGAUUGCCACAACAGGUUUCCAUAGACUGUUGUAGAGAGAGAGUGAGAUGGAGAGAUGAGAGAAUUGAAGAUCAGAUAAUGAAAGAAAGGUGACCAGUGAAUGGAGAAAAGAGAGAGAAGAUAAAUAAUAACAGAAAAAAUAUGCAAAACAAGACUAAGACAAAAAACGACAUUGUGAAGAGAGCUAGACAGAGAGAGAAAGAGAGAGAGACAGAGAGAGACAGAGAGGAGCCAGAGCACGUUGUUCGGAGUGUUCUGAGCAGACACUGUCUGGACCAUGUGCACAGGCACCAACUUGCCUUCGCGGAAGGCAUUGCGAAGCGCGGCACUUCCGACCCAUUGCCUUGGUGUGCGGUCCAUAAAAGAAAACCCUCGAGGCGCAUGGCAGGCAGGCAGGCUAAGGAUAUGGACGGGGAAUCGACACGAGGAGGAGGAGAUGAGAGGAUAUUGAUCAGCUCCAACUCGACGUGGACCGUUUAACCCAUGCAGUCACAAAAGGUAUGAAGCUGCCUGGACCGGAUGAUGACGCUGCUGUACAGACUGGCUGCACCUUGCAGAAAAACUCCCUUUGUAGAUGAGUGGCCCAGUCAGGAUUACUUACUGCAGGGCUCUUAACACGCAGUACUCCCAUCUCAGAGGCUAAAAACAGACACGGAGACACCCUUAACAAGGCCUUAUUAGAUUACUAGUGAUCCUCUGCUGAAUGUGUUUAAAUAAGUCACAAGCUCCCAGGUAUUCAGUGCUAACCCAGUGACGGCAGUCUUCGCUUCGACUGUGCUAAGCAAGGUUGGCCAUUUUGGGUCGGUGUCUGUCAGCUGCUCAGUAGUCAGUGUAGAUCCUGUGGGGCAGUCAGCAGCUACAUCUGGCUACUGGGUCGCUGAUGGCUGCCAUGUUCUUCGUGGAUUAGUAUCGCUUGUAUUCUAAAUUUACAUACAGCCAUCUUUAGUUCAGUUUGCUGGUAGGUUGUUGACCUGGCAUACAGUGUAGAAUUCUGUGUGGUUGAUUCUACAGCUACAUUGUCUGCUGGGUUUUAGGCCCUACUCAAAUAAUCACUGUCACUUAAUCUCUCGGUAAGUAUUUUCUCCCAAUUCAGAGACCGUGUGACAAUGAUUGUGUAUCAUCAAAUAAAAUACAAGUUCUAGAAGCAGAGUUGUGAUUCCUAAUGUGUUGAGGUCAGCUGUAUUUGGAUUGGGCCCU
This is a long non-coding RNA of Oncorhynchus keta (chum salmon), 1296 nucleotides long. RefSeq lists it as uncharacterized. The transcript has 4 exons. NCBI's taxonomy places the organism in Eukaryota, Metazoa, Chordata, Actinopteri, Salmoniformes, Salmonidae. The record is from RefSeq and is a predicted model, not a curated record.